Molecule: long non-coding RNA, 157 nt
Filed under: Coturnix japonica (Japanese quail)
Lineage: Eukaryota; Metazoa; Chordata; Aves; Galliformes; Phasianidae
Description: lncRNA (ENSCJPG00005003516.1)
Source: RNAcentral
GUUUUGUGAGUUUCUUGCUUCCCACAGAUUAACACUCUCCCUCUCUUGGUUGACUCUGAUCACAUUGGAAAAGGUGAUCCUGAGAGGUAUUUCAACACAGAAUGAACCAUGUAAGUGCUGCUGGAUAGUAGCACCAUUGUGGUAAGCAGCUACCAGC